This is a small nuclear RNA of Myotis daubentonii (Daubenton's bat), 105 nucleotides long. NCBI's taxonomy places the organism in Eukaryota, Metazoa, Chordata, Mammalia, Chiroptera, Vespertilionidae. The record is from RefSeq and is a predicted model, not a curated record.
GUUUGCUUCGGCAGCACAUCUACUAAAAUUGGAGCGAUACAAAGAAGAUUAGCAUGGCCCCUGCGUAAGGAUAACAUGUGAAUUUAUGAAGCAUUCCAUAUUUUU